Molecule: ribosomal RNA, 254 nt
Filed under: uncultured bacterium
Lineage: Bacteria
Description: partial 16S ribosomal RNA
Rfam family: Bacterial small subunit ribosomal RNA
Source: RNAcentral
UACGUAGGGGGCAAGCGUUGUCCGGAUUUAUUGGGCGUAAAGAGCUCGUAGGUGGUUCGGUAAGUCGGAUGUGAAAUCUCCAGGCUCAACCUGGAGGGGUCAUUCGAUACUGCCGUGACUAGAGGUCGGUAGGGGAGUGUGGAAUUCCUGGUGGAGCGGUGAAAUGCGCAGAUAUCAGGAGGAACACCCGUGGCUAAGGCGGCUCUCUAGUACGGUACUGACGCUGAGACGCGAAAGCGUGGGGAGCGAACAGG